UUGAUCCUUUGACUAAGUGUCUGAGAUGUUUGUCCAAUGUACAUAGCAGACGGAUGCUUUCGGUACAUGAUAGCAUAAAGAAACACUCAAGAAAAGUUCAAAGGUGGGGGGGGGGUGACAUAAAUUUAAAGGAAGAAAUUACUCACCUUGUGCAGUAACAAUGUUUUUUUGAAAUGUGUGUUCCUGAGGGUGCUCCACUCAGGUGUUGGUGAAUCCUUGCACCAGUGAACAGAGAUUUUUAUCCCAUCAGUACUUUCUUGUGCUGCACAUGUGCAGCAGCUGUCUUGCACUGUUUUUGUCUGUUAGCUGUGUGUGCGGUGCAAGUCUCCCUCCAUUUCUUUUCUACCAGAAAUAUUAUCAUUGACUCCAGAGUAGAGGGGAGGAAGGGAGGGUAGUGGAGCACCCACAGGGGCACACAUCUCGAAGAACCAUUGUUACUGCACAAGGUGAGCAACUUCUUCUUCUCCUUUGAGUAUUGUCCCUGUAGGCGCUCCACUCAGGUGACUGAAAAGCAGUAGCCACAGUGGUGGCGGUGGGCCAUUGGAGUCAUCUGCUAGAAGAAGCAAGGAUGGUGUCACCCACAGAUGUGGCUGGCUAAGAACCGCAUGGUGAUCAGGUGAGCGAACACCGAGACAUCAUUUACCAGGUCAUAGAAGACCACGAUAGCAGAGAGAUGGACUCUUAUGGAGCUGAUGAAGAGCCCUGCAUUGCUGAGGUCCAUUAAAUAUUUGAAUAUGGUGUACCUCACAGAAGUGUGAUGACUGCUGAGGAGGAUCUGUUUCACUCUCUGGGAGCAGGCUCUUCUUGGAUCACCAAGAUCUUGUCAUCACUCAAGUAUCGAAGGAGUGAAUUCUCCGAGUCAGUUGUUGGAGGAAGAAGAAAAGAAAUAUGAAUAAUACAAAACAAAAAGAUAUCAAAUGUAAUCAGGCUGCACUUUUAUACUUAAGCACUCGAGCACACAUCUGUGUGAAAAUAAAGCUGCACCUUAU
Pelodiscus sinensis (Chinese soft-shelled turtle) is the source of this 989-nucleotide long non-coding RNA. RefSeq lists it as uncharacterized. NCBI's taxonomy places the organism in Eukaryota, Metazoa, Chordata, Testudines, Trionychidae. The record is from RefSeq and is a predicted model, not a curated record.